Molecule: unclassified non-coding RNA, 411 nt
Filed under: Hevea brasiliensis (rubber tree)
Lineage: Eukaryota; Viridiplantae; Streptophyta; Magnoliopsida; Malpighiales; Euphorbiaceae
Source: RNAcentral
CCCAAGCUUGAUUAAAAAGAAACCACCAUAAUUGUUGCUCUCAAGCCAAAUCAAACAUGACCCAUCAAUCCCAGUAUUUUAUAACCCGAAAUAAGAAAUAUGAACAGCUAGAAAACCUAUAAAAUUACAAUCCCAGAAGUAAAAAAAACAAUAUAUACAGAAAACACUCCAAAUAAAACACAAAUUACAGCCUAUAAAUUGAGGAAACCUGCGUGAAAAAUAGAAACUGUAGGUAUAUAAUCUAUAUAAUCUAUAUACAGAAAAUGAAAUGGAUAGGUAAUGAAGAACCUGGAGUUGAAUUAAUCGUUGAGGAAAAGAUUCGAGGGCUGAGAUGGGAGAAAUAGAGGGAGAAACUAGAUUCUUGGCAUAAGGGAAGAUAUCUGAAUCUCUCUCUCUGGUUUUGGCUUCUCC